This 974-nucleotide ribosomal RNA is filed under the name Austrognathia christianae. RNAcentral's name for it is "partial 28S ribosomal RNA". It matches the Rfam family "Eukaryotic large subunit ribosomal RNA", at positions 76 to 893 of the family's 3401-position model. Lineage: Eukaryota; Metazoa; Gnathostomulida; Bursovaginoidea; Austrognathiidae. The record is from RNAcentral.
UCCCUCAGUAACGGCGAGUGAACAGGGAGAAGCUCAGCGCAUAAUCCACAUUCGAAAGAUUGUUGGAAAUGUUGCGUUAAGGCUGGCACUCAGCUGCAUUGAAUCUGCUGGAAGUUCCCUUGACUGGGGCUACCAUAGAGGGUGAAAGUCCUUUACCGGCGGAUGAUGUGUGGCAGGUGUCAGCUUUCGAGUCGGGUUGUUUGAGAUUGCAGCCCAAAGUGGGUCGUAGAUUCGAUCUAAGGCUAAAUAUAUGGUCAACUCCGAUAGCGAACAAGUACAGUGAUGGAAAGAUGAAAAGAACUUUGGAGAGAGGGUUAAAAAGUGCGUGAAACCGCUUGGAGGAAAACGGACACAGGCGCUAUGUGCUUGCCGGGGAAUCAGCUGGGAAGACUGGCUGUCAUGUCGGCUGGGACCAAAUGGCCGUGGUCGGCUCGGCAGACGGUAUUUUCGGCGCAUUUCCCUGCGGCGGCCAGUCGGAGACUGGGUUGGUCUGUGCUGCUGUUGUGUACUGCAACUACCUCAGCUGCGGAACGGCAGUUGACAGUGCGGACCUGACCUGGUCAAGUGCAAGCUGUGUUGGCAGCAGUGCGGAGGCUUAGGGCCCGGAUGUCUGUGCCUGGACGGCAACUUGUUUCAAGGUGUCGACCGGGCGUGGGCGUCUGGCCUGAAGGCUUCUACAUCGCACGUUGACUGGUUUGACGUUCUGUGUCCGACCCGUCUUGAAACACGGACCACGGAGUCUAACGCUCAAGCGAGUUACCUGGCUGAAGGCCGGUAAAGCUGAAUGAAAGUGAAUGUAGGGGAGAACUGGCCGUCCUCGGGCGGUCGGUGCAUCCCCGGCACGUCUCAACUUCGCAUUCGUGAAGGAGGCGUAGCAUGAGCUUGAUCGUUGGGACCCGAAAGAUGGUGAACUAUGCCUGAGCAGGCUGAAGUCAGGGGAAACUCUGAUGGAAGGUCGUCGCGAUUCUGACGUG